UCCCCAGUGGCUCAUAUGGUAAAGAAUCUGCCUGCAAUGCAGGAGACCAAGGUUCAAUCCCUAGGUGGGGAA
RNAcentral lists this transfer RNA (72 nucleotides) under Capra hircus (goat). It matches the Rfam family "tRNA". Rfam says of the family: Transfer RNA (tRNA) molecules are approximately 80 nucleotides in length. The record is from Rfam by way of RNAcentral. Lineage: Eukaryota; Metazoa; Chordata; Mammalia; Artiodactyla; Bovidae. RNAcentral also lists the same sequence under 1 other name.